UUUCAGUUUCCCGUUAUGAAAUAAGAGAACUUAUGUGMAGCCAUGGAUCCUUUGUUCUGCCAUGAUUCUUUGUUUAACUGUUGGGAAGAUCAAGGAAGACACYRRCGCUCUGAUCCUUCUUUGUUUUGGACAGUCUGUUAUGCAUAUGGAUGGCCAUAUAUGUGUUUAGGCCUAUUAAAGGGGAAUUUACAUUACAUUUAAUUAGGAUUGAUCCAAAAUGGAUGUUUAAAGCCCCAACAUUACCUCCAAAAAUCUCAUCAGGACCAAUGCAUUGGAGAUGGUGGUCAAGAAAAUCUUGUGUCAAAGUGAUGCAGCAGAGUUUCUUGUUGCUUUUGCUGGAAUUCAAGAAAGUGUACACCAGUUUUCCAAAGACUAUAAAUUGAGGAAAGGCCCAGUUUCUGUAUCAUUGAGUUCAAGUUCAGAGAUUGUGGGGGUUGAUAGCAGCCAUUCAAUAAGUAACGGAGUUGAGAGAUAAGUUGUCAAGGGUAGAAGAGGAACUCGAGACCGAAUGGAAGAAGAGGGCAGAUUUGGAGGCCAGACAAGCUGCCUCGGCAGCUGAACAGGCCAGACAAGUAGUUGUCAGGAUACGUUUUCCCACCUCCCCCAAAUCCCAAUAGUUAGAUUGUAUGUAUUCGAAGAUUAAAUUAUAUGAAUUGAAUAU
Molecule: long non-coding RNA, 661 nt
Organism: Cynara cardunculus var. scolymus (artichoke)
Lineage: Eukaryota; Viridiplantae; Streptophyta; Magnoliopsida; Asterales; Asteraceae
Exons: 4
Source: RefSeq, a predicted model, not a curated record